AUUCAUGGCAGCUUUGCUGGUGAUGGCAAAUACUUGGAAACAAACCUAGAUGUCCAUCAAGAAAGGAUUAGUUAAAUAAAGCAUGCUAGAUUCAAACAACUACUAUGCGGCUUUAAAAAGGAAUGAGGAAGCUCUCUGUGUACUGAUGGGGACAGAAGUUCCAGGACAUUUUGUAAGGUGGCUGAAAAACAAGACAGAUGCUUCCAGAAUCAAUCACCGAAUGGUGGAUCUACAGCCAACCACCCAUUCUCUUCAGUCACUGAGAUGAUAUGAUGCUGCUGGUCCAAGGACUACAUUUCGAGAACCCCAACCACGCAUGGAUUGUUGUCAACUAUGAAUCACAAGAUUUCCAGGGUUUUGUCUGCUGCCUUCCCUGCAAGCCCUGCCAUCCACUGAGACCCAACCUCAGCCAUUCUUGGCACAUCAGCCCAUGAGAAGUCUGCCACUCUUUCUUCCUAAGCAAAGCAGCAUCCUUCAGGGCCUGGAGCUCCUGGACACAAAAGCCAUUUUUGGGAGCCAGCAAAACAGCUGAGGCACAGACUAGAUGGUAGUCCAAGGACCAAGACCUGGCCAGCCAGAGGGACCAGGUGUCCAGACCCCGGACUGUUUUCAAUACAGUUAUACAAUGAAAUCAAAUAAAUGGAUGUAUUGAUUGCUUGGCAAUUAAUGGGGGAACAAUUAAUUUGGCCAUAGGAUAGGGGCUCAUCCCCAUGGACGCUUGAGUGUCCAGCAGUGAUCUCUGUGCUC
Molecule: long non-coding RNA, 747 nt
Filed under: Homo sapiens (human)
Lineage: Eukaryota; Metazoa; Chordata; Mammalia; Primates; Hominidae
Description: HSALNT0273117
Source: RNAcentral